GGUGCUGCUGAACCAAGGUGUGCCCCCACACAGGUGUAUGCCCCAGCCCCGCAAUGUGAGCAGUAGAAGAGGGAGGCAGCCCUGACACCAGCUGCAGGUUUCAUGGUGUCCCUUCUCUGCUGCUGAUCCAAACAUGCACUAUCACAAGCAGGAUUUAAUCACCCCAAACAAGCUACUUUAACAACACACUUGUUCAAUUCUGUCUGCUGACCGAGCUUCAUUUGAAUAUUAUUAUUAUUCUCUACUGGAUGACCAAUUAUUAUUUCUACACUUACACUCUCCCUCCAAAAAAAAUGUUUGGGUCAGCUGGUUCUCCUAGCUGUAUCCCUGCCAUUUCCCUGUGCUCCUGAAACAUGUGUGUACCUACAAGCCUUGCUGGGUUUGCAGAGAUGCAAACAAUUUGGAGAUGGACUCAGCCUCUCUGUGAGUGGCUUUAUUGGCUUGCGGGAGCUUGGACCUAUUCUUUUUGAGCAUCACUGAUGAUUGGACUAAAACCCAGUGGAGACAGAUUAAUGGGGAACAGAUGGAUGUAGAGCUCAGAAGGUUUGCCAAGGAAAUAAAUUCUUUGGAUAAUAAGGUUUGUGUCUGGGAUGCAUGUAGAGGCUUGGAGUUAAAGGUGAACAAUCUGAUAUCAUCCUUAACGGGAAUAUUGGAGCAGCAAAAUUCUGCAGUCAGAGAGACAUGAUACCAGGUCAAGAAGGUGAUGAGAGUAAGUAUUCAGUUAAAGACACCCCAGUAAUGGUCUUUCAUAGUCUACAUAUCAAUGCAAAAGUACACUCAGGCAUGUGGUAGUGCUGCUGCUGCCAACCAUUCGAUGUGGAAGUGGAGCAGUGAUUCAGCAUUCAGACAGAGCCAUCUCAAGAUUGAGAAGAGAAUCUGUUGUCUCUGCUCAGACAAAAUGACCCGAC
Molecule: long non-coding RNA, 908 nt
Filed under: Anas platyrhynchos platyrhynchos (common mallard)
Lineage: Eukaryota; Metazoa; Chordata; Aves; Anseriformes; Anatidae
Description: lncRNA (ENSAPLG00000025067.1)
Source: RNAcentral